Molecule: ribosomal RNA, 498 nt
Filed under: uncultured bacterium
Lineage: Bacteria
Description: bacterial SSU rRNA
Rfam family: Bacterial small subunit ribosomal RNA
Source: RNAcentral
AGUGGCCUUCGGGAACUCUGAGACAGGUGCUGCAUGGCUGUCGUCAGCUCGUGUUGUGAAAUGUUGGGUUAAGUCCCGNAACGAGCGCAACCCUUAUCCUUUGUUGCCAGCACGUAAUGGUGGGAACUCAAAGGAGACUGCCGGUGAUAAACCGGAGGAAGGUGGGGAUGACGUCAAGUCAUCAUGGCCCUUACGAGUAGGGCUACACACGUGCUACAAUGGCGCAUACAAAGAGAAGCGACCUCGCGAGAGCAAGCGGACCUCAUAAAGUGCGUCGUAGUCCGGAUUGGAGUCUGCAACUCGACUCCAUGAAGUCGGAAUCGCUAGUAAUCGUAAAUCAGAAUGUUACGGUGAAUACGUUCCCGGGCCUUGUACACACCGCCCGUCACACCAUGGGAGUGGGUUGCAAAAGAAGUAGAUAGCUUAACCUUCGGGAGGGCGUUUACCACUUUGUGAUUCAUGACUGGGGUGAAGUCGUAACAAGGUAGGCGUAGUGCU